GCGGCGCACGGGUGCGGAACACGUGUGCAACCUGCCUUUAUCUGGGGGAUAGCCUUUCGAAAGGAAGAUUAAUACCCCAUAAUAUAUUAGAUGGCAUCAUUUGAUAUUGAAAACUCCGGUGGAUAGAGAUGGGCACGCGCAAGAUUAGUUAGUUGGUGAGGUAACGGCUCACCAAGACGAUGAUCUUUAGGGGGCCUGAGAGGGUGAUCCCCCACACUGGUACUGAGACACGGACCAGACUCCUACGGGAGGCAGCAGUGAGGAAUAUUGGACAAUGGGUUAGCGCCUGAUCCAGCCAUCCCGCGUGAAGGACGACGGCCCUAUGGGUUGUAAACUUCUUUUGUAUAGGGAUAAACCUACUCUCGUGAGAGUAGCUGAAGGUACUAUACGAAUAAGCACCGGCUAA
This 406-nucleotide ribosomal RNA is filed under the name Epilithonimonas bovis. RNAcentral describes it as "bacterial SSU rRNA". It matches the Rfam family "Bacterial small subunit ribosomal RNA", at positions 95 to 500 of the family's 1533-position model. Lineage: Bacteria; Pseudomonadati; Bacteroidota; Flavobacteriia; Flavobacteriales; Weeksellaceae. The record is from RNAcentral.